GCCUAGUCAAGAUGAAGCCAGAGGAAACUCUGGUGGAUGUCUGAAGUUUUUCUGACGUGCAAAUCGAUAAUCUGAUCUGGGUAUAGGGGCGAAAGACUAAUCGAACCAUCUAGUAGCUGGUUCCUUCCGAAGUUUCCCUCAGGAUAGCAAGCGUACAAUGGUAGUUUCAUCCAGUAAAGCGAAUGAUUAGAGGUCUUGGGGCAUAUGUAGCCUCAACCUAUUCUCAAACUUUUAAUGGGUGUGAGUUCUCUUUCUUAAUUGAAGAGCUACUAAUAAAUAAGUAUGCUUAGUGGGCCAUUUUUGGUAAGCAGAACUGGCGCUGUGGGUUGAACCAAAUGUUGAGUUAAAGUGCCUAAAGCUAAAAUGCGUAUGAGAUCUAUAAAGGGUGUUAGUUGCUGAAGACAGCAGGACGGAGGCCAUGGA
This 423-nucleotide ribosomal RNA is filed under the name Cornigamasus lunaris. Its description in RNAcentral is "eukaryotic LSU rRNA". It matches the Rfam family "Eukaryotic large subunit ribosomal RNA", at positions 835 to 1258 of the family's 3401-position model. The record is from RNAcentral. Lineage: Eukaryota; Metazoa; Arthropoda; Arachnida; Mesostigmata; Parasitidae.